This 253-nucleotide ribosomal RNA is filed under the name uncultured bacterium. Its description in RNAcentral is "partial 16S ribosomal RNA". It matches the Rfam family "Bacterial small subunit ribosomal RNA", at positions 524 to 776 of the family's 1533-position model. The record is from RNAcentral.
UACAGAGGGUGCAAGCGUUAAUCGGAAUUACUGGGCGUAAAGCGUGCGUAGGUGGUUCUUUAAGUCAGGUGUGAAAUCCCCGGGCUCAACCUGGGAACUGCAUUUGAUACUGACGGUCUGGAGAUCGGGAGAGGUUGGUGGAAUUCCGAGUGUAGAGGUGAAAUUCGUAGAUAUUCGGAGGAACACCAGAAGCGAAGGCGGCCAACUGGCCCGAUACUGACGCUGAGGCGCGAAAGCGUGGGGAGCAAACAGG